GACGAACGCUGGCGGCGUGCCUAAUACAUGCAAGUAGAACGCUGAAGAGAGGAGCUUGCUCUUCUUGGAUGAGUUGCGAACGGGUGAGUAACGCGUAGGUAACCUGCCUUGUAGCGGGGGAUAACUAUUGGAAACGAUAGCUAAUACCGCAUAACAAUGGAUGACACAUGUCAUUUAUUUGAAAGGGGCAAUUGCUCCACUACAAGAUGGACCUGCGUUGUAUUAGCUAGUAGGUGAGGUAAUGGCUCACCUAGGCGACGAUACAUAGCCGACCUGAGAGGGUGAUCGGCCACACUGGGACUGAGACACGGCCCAGACUCCUACGGGAGGCAGCGGUAGGGAAUCUUCGGCAAUGGGGGCAACCCUGACCGAGCAACGCCGCGGGAGUGAAGAAGGUUUUCGGAUCGUAAAGCUCUGUUGUAAGUCAAGAACGGGUGUGAGAGUGGAAAGUUCACACUGUGACGGUAGCUUACCAGAAAGGGACGGCUAACUACGUG
Molecule: ribosomal RNA, 497 nt
Filed under: uncultured bacterium
Lineage: Bacteria
Description: partial 16S ribosomal RNA
Rfam family: Bacterial small subunit ribosomal RNA
Source: RNAcentral